CUCUCUCGAUCCAUUCACACUCCACACAAGUUUAGCAGAGGCUUCUUCCUCUCUCCAUCCACACUCUCUCCAUCGCUCCGUCCACGCUCUCCCCGUCACAGGAGCUUCUUUCACCGCCGCCGCUCUCCCCAUCGCUCCGUCCACGAAGAAGCUCCAUCGCUUACGAGCUCCAUUUUUCUGUUUCUGUUUGAGCUGUGUUUCAGUCCCCUCCAUUUAGAUCUGCGCUUCUGAAUUUCAGAUCGCAUUCCGGUAACCUCUAUUUCUCUUCGAGUUCUUCAUUCACUUGCCCUCACUACACAUUCUUCUCGUCUCACGAUCUGAUCUCAUGGCUCCUAACACUGUUACGGACUUUGUUUUCUUGUCAAAUUCAAUUUGAGACAAUAAUCACUUCUGUCAUUUCAAAGAUCGAAUGCAGACAUGGUUGUACUUGCUGCAUCCAUUGUGGGCAAAUUUGGUAAAGUUCUGGUUUCUAGGCAGUUUGUUGAUAAUGUUGUGCAGAUAUGUGUACUAGAGUAGUUCUGUGAAGACAGCUUACCUCUCCAAAUUUUCUGGAUAUGAAUUGUAGCAUUUCUCAAGGGGAAACAGUAACGAAUAUCCACCACUGGAAUGUUGGGCACACGAGUUUUCAAUACAAGACAUGGAGCAUUACCCUUCACUUCCUUUUUAUGAAACUCUCUCCAUCGAACCAAUUUCAACUAUUAAAGGUGAAAACUGAUGGAGCAAACUCUAAGGGAAGAAGAUGCAGCUAACUGGGUUUACAGGGGUGAAGGAGCUGUUAAUCUUGUUCUUGCUUACAAUGGAUCAAUUAAGUGUAUCGGAUAUGAUGAGACCAAUUAAGUGUAUCAGCUACGUCUUGAAUUAAGUGUAUCGGAUAUGAUGAGACCAAUUAAGUGUUUCCAUGUAUUACGAAUGGUUACUUGAUUUCCUUAUCGGUGAUUCUAAUUGAGGUUGAUCAUCUAUAAGAUAUCCUUGGCCCAUAUAUAUUCAGAUCAAAGGUGUUAAUAAAGAUGCAGUGGCAGUAGUGGGUUCAAUGCUUGAAUUGGAUGGAAUCAUAAACAGCAGCCAUGAAGCCUUCAUCACUUCCAAAUUUUGGUGCAACAAUGAUCACUAUGACCUUGUCCUUCCAGCUCUCAAGACCACACUUAAGUGGAAAUGAGCUCAUCAUGGCAAUAAGGAAAACUCAGAGAAUUUUGCAAGCAGAAAGGAAUCCAUUUGACUGCAUGGUCACCGUUUUCUAGUAAAGUCACAGAUAUUGGCAUCCAUUUUCUAAAAGGGUAAGCCUCCUGAUUGGCAAGACUUUGUUGGUAUUAUCACUUUGCUUGUCAUCAAUUCAACCAUCAGUUUCAUAGAGAGAACAAUGCUGGUAAUGCUGCUGCAGCUCUCAUGGCUCGUCUCGCUCCGAAAGCAAAGGUGAAGUUGUCUGGAUCAAUUAGCAGUCAAUACUUGACUGCAUUGCUCAUGACAGCUCCUUUCGCCCUUGGUGAUGUUGAAAUUGAGAUUAUCGAUAAACUGAUUCCUGUUCCCUACGUUGAUAUGACUUUGAAACUGAUGAGCGCUUUGGAGUCCAUGUGGAGCACAGUGGUAACUGGGAUAGGUUCUUGGUCUACGGAGGUCAAAAGUACAAGUCUCCUGGGAAUGCUUUUGUUGAAGGAGAUGCUUCUAGUGCCAGCUACUUCCUCGCAGGUGCAGCUGUUACCGGUGGGACUAUCACAGUUGUAGGCUGCGGCACAAGUAGUUUACAGAAUCAUCCUGCUGUUGUUGUGCCUAGGCUUCCUGCUGGUUUGAAUUUGCUUAGCCCAGUCAGGAGAUGUCAAGAUUAACUUUCAAUGUGGAGCUUGAUGCUGCUAAUGCAACUUAGUUAUCUAUUAAUAUUUUAGAUUAUUCUAUCUUUAAGUGCUAAGUGUAAUUUGUGACAUUCAUGUAACAUUGGGAUGGUCAUCUUAUUUUUUUUUGGUAUUUUUUUAUUAAGACAAUAAGAUAUUGGCCAAUGAUGUUGAAAAAUAACAUCCAAUUUUAUAGGUAUCAUGUAAUGAAUAUUAUGUUUAUUUAUG
This is a long non-coding RNA of Arachis stenosperma, 2051 nucleotides long. RefSeq lists it as uncharacterized. The record is from RefSeq and is a predicted model, not a curated record. The transcript has 13 exons. NCBI's taxonomy places the organism in Eukaryota, Viridiplantae, Streptophyta, Magnoliopsida, Fabales, Fabaceae.